UACAAAAAGGCUAAUUAAUGCUUAGUUGUUAUAAUAAUGCUGCAAUAUACAAAGUUGGCACUCAUUAACCUGAAGAGAAUCAUUGCAAAAGUGAAAGAAAAAAGGCGUUUCUCAAAUGAAAAUAUAAAACAGGAAAAAGUAAAAAAGGAUAGAAUAGAGAAACACGGGAAGGAUACAUAGACAAGCCACACACGCAUGACAUUUGAGUGCGACUGCACAAGAACAACAAAGACGACGAACACGCUUGUUUCUUGCUUGUCUCUUUUGACCAUAAUACCCUCACUCUUAUUUCGAAAUGACUCCUCACCCGUACGGCCUACACUCCUACUUAAAAUUACAAUCAGG
This 345-nucleotide long non-coding RNA is filed under the name Daucus carota (carrot). RNAcentral describes it as "long non-coding RNA (DCAR_LNC003060)". The record is from RNAcentral. Lineage: Eukaryota; Viridiplantae; Streptophyta; Magnoliopsida; Apiales; Apiaceae.